This 433-nucleotide ribosomal RNA is filed under the name uncultured bacterium. RNAcentral's name for it is "partial 16S ribosomal RNA". It matches the Rfam family "Bacterial small subunit ribosomal RNA", at positions 29 to 507 of the family's 1533-position model. The record is from RNAcentral.
AACGAACGCUGGCGGCAUGCCUAACACAUGCAAGUCGAACGAGACCUCCGGGUCUAGUGGCGCACGGGUGCGUAACGCGUGGGAACCUGCCCUUAGGUUCGGAAUAACUCCCCGACAGGGGUGCUAAUACCGGAUAAUGUCUUCUGACCAAAGAUUUAUCGCCUUUGGAUGGGCCCGCGUUGGAUUAGCUAGUUGGUAUGGUAAAAGCCUACCAAGGCGACGAUCCAUAGCUGGUCUGAGAGGAUGAUCAGCCACACUUGGACUGAGACACGGCCCAGAAUCCUACGGGAGGGAGCAGUGGGGAAUAUUGGACAAUGGGCGAAGGCAUGAUCGAGCAAUGCCGCGUGAGUGAUGAAGGCCGUAGAGUUGUAAAGCUCUUUUAACCGGGAUGAUAAUGACAGUACCGGGAGAAUAAGCUACGGCUAACUCCGUG